GCAUCACUCUCCUAAAAUUCAAGCAUAUGGUCCACAAACAAGACUCUCAAGAUUGUCAUGUAAAUAACAUAUAACUUUUACAAACAACAUUCAAAACAAAUGACCGUGUAAGCAAAAUAAAAUUGAAAAGUUAUUUUUUCUCUGUAUCUGGACGACACCAAGUUGAUCUCUUGAUCAAUCAUUCAUGACAACUCGGUAUCUGUAUAUAUAGACUGAAUGCAACGCUUCCAUAGAUUAUUUUCACGAGCCAAAAGCAAAUUUCAUGUCGAAAAUGCUAGCAAAACUAAUAGUUUGGCUAGCCAGAACUGACUUCACCUAUCGAGCAUCGUUGGAUGU
This 336-nucleotide unclassified non-coding RNA is filed under the name Hevea brasiliensis (rubber tree). The record is from RNAcentral. Lineage: Eukaryota; Viridiplantae; Streptophyta; Magnoliopsida; Malpighiales; Euphorbiaceae.